This is a long non-coding RNA of Fundulus heteroclitus (mummichog), 2313 nucleotides long. RefSeq lists it as uncharacterized. Lineage: Eukaryota; Metazoa; Chordata; Actinopteri; Cyprinodontiformes; Fundulidae. The transcript has 3 exons. The record is from RefSeq and is a predicted model, not a curated record.
UUGUGUGGUAGAUUUAACGUUUUCACAGCUUUUAGAUUGCUGGAUGAGGCAAUAAGAUAACAAUAUCAAUUCAAGUCCCACAAAGACAGAGAAUAAAGGUAUAUUAUUGCUGAACCUGUAGUGCUUUUUGUCAAAAACGGUAAAGCCAAGUAUGACACUCUCAUAAUUAAGAUGAGACUGUGGGGAAAAGCUAGAUAUAAGGGUCAUGAUACCAGUCCAGAGUUUUUUUGGUACAAUCAUAGUCCCAAAACAAACGAGUCUUCAAAUGUGUUCAGCCUGAAAGGCACAGAAUGAGCACACAUUGGUAGCAGAAUUAUUUUUAAAUCUACACAUUUACUGUUUGGUAGGAUAGCAUCUGUGGACAAGUUUAUAUGUCACUUCUUUAACUUUAACUUUGUUUGUAACAAAAUAUUUUUGAGGUAGAGACCAACCCUUUUUCCAGUUAAUUCUGUGCACGUACCUAUUCCAAUAAGCAAUAGCACAGGGUUGAGAAAUGAUUUGCUGUGGAACAUGAAAACAGAGGUGUAUCCCACCUCUCGCCCAUGACCGUUGGACCCUCUCUCCAUCUUGGAACACUGCAUGGAAAAGUUUGGAUUUUGUGCAAUAGACUGAUAUGUGUAAUUUUCAGACAUUUUUAAUUAAUAAAAAUAAAAAGCUCAAAAGUGCAACAUGGAUUCAAUCCCACUAAGUAAAAUCCAGUGCACCAAAUUACAUGCUGACUUCGGGAUUUCUUUGUUUUCUGCUUGAAUUAUUACAUUAGUGCUUAUGAACAAAGAUGGGAGAGAUCAAGAAAAAUAAAAUAGAAAUAUAGGAACAUUAAAAUGCAGUGAAGACUCAAGUGACGUGGCACCAAAAAGACCCUUAAACUGUCAUUUGAGAUCAAAGUAAUAUGUCUGAAAGCAAUCUAAUUUGUUAGUUGAUCUAAAUGCACCUUCAUUGCUUUAAUCGCUUUGAUUGGAUUAAACAACAAAACUGCUGCUGCCAGUUUGUUGAAAUCAUGAUCAUGAUGUCACUAACUUAUCUGGUUAAACCCAGUAUUAUAGCAGCAUGUAAAAUAAGUGAGCCAUUACUGAGAAGUCUUGUUUACAGGAUGAUAAAAACUAUGCAGGGGGUCAUAGGAAACAUGUGGAAAAAGCAGCUGGUCAGGUAUAUUAAAAUUAAACAUUUGGCCCAAAUGCAAAACGCUAAGCUUAACUCCGCUCCUCCCCCAGAAAGCAUCCUCCAGGUGGUGAGACAUGGUGGUGGCAGCAUCCCAGUGAUGCUUUCCUCCGGCAGGGAACGGGAAGGUGUCCAGAGGUGCUCGCGCGCGGAUCCGUCCGGACGGCGCGCGAGCAGGUAGGAGCGCCGUUGGCGUUCACUUGACGCGGACGAAGGCGCAGUGUUCUCCAAAAACACAGGGGCGCAGUACUCAACCUAAUCACUGGAAAUGCAGUAAACAAGAGACGAAGCUGUUGACGUCACACGCCCAAAAUGGCCGCGCGCGUGAGCCGCAACUUGAAUGGGGCUGAGUUGCGCUCACUGAGCUAUAUAGCUCAGUGGUUGCGCUGUGUUUGUGGCAGCUUAACAGAAACAAGCGACGGAGAAGAAGAUGACACCUUGGUUGCAUACCUGUAAUACAGCAGACUUCUGCUACUGCUAGGCAUCACCUCCCUGCAACCAACGAUCAGAGCUGCAGCUUGCAGUCCAAUUUGAUGCGCCCCUUUCCAAGUGUCCGCCUUGAUAAUGGGCAGAAAGUCUACAACUACAGAUGCGCUAGAGAUAGAUAAGUGAUCAAAAUUCGACCAGGAUGGCCCAUAAAAUGUCCACACUGAUGCGCCAACCUCUCCUGCAUCCAGGUACAUACCGCAGAGUUUUGCUCAUGGACCAAAGGCAUCAGAGGACCUCCUGCCCGGAGCCAGGGCGAAUGCAGGAGUUGCAACAGCAACAGCUGUUAAAAUCUGAGAAGAACUGAGGUCCUUCUUUCCCACACCACAACGACUGAGAUGCUAGCAGGACUCAGUAAAACAGCGAGGAUGCUUAAAUUGAAAGCGUGCAGUUUGACUGUCAUGGCUUCAUUUAAAUCACCGUGGAAAACCAUUAUGACCUGUUUUUUUCUUAAACACAAACACCGUGUAUAGUAAAGAACGUUUAAACGACACAGAUGGAAAAAGUAAAAAAUAAGAUUUUUUUUUAUUUGUACAGUUUAGACAUUUUCACACAAAACACACUAAUGAAAAACGUUGUGCGUUUGCAAAUAAAGAAAGAGAACGCGUCAGCAUCUUUCUCCCAUCACGUAGGCUUUUGUCUCCCAUAGGGAUUAUCUUUCUGGCUUUG